UACGGAGGGUGCAAGCGUUAUCCGGAUUCACUGGGUUUAAAGGGCUCGUAGGCGGUUUGUCACGUCGGGAGUGAAAACUCGGGGCUUAACCCCGAGCCUGCUUCCGAUACGGGCUGACUAGAGGUAUGCAGGGGAGAACGGAAUUCCUGGUGUAGCGGUGAAAUGCGUAGAUAUCAAGAGGAACACCUGCGGCGAAGGCGGGUUGCUGGGCCGCCACUGACGCUGAGGCGCGAAAGCCAGGGGAGCGAACGGG
This 253-nucleotide ribosomal RNA is filed under the name uncultured bacterium. Its description in RNAcentral is "partial 16S ribosomal RNA". It matches the Rfam family "Bacterial small subunit ribosomal RNA", at positions 524 to 776 of the family's 1533-position model. The record is from RNAcentral.